AAGUAAUAAAAAAAUAUAAAACAAAAGUGUAAGAGUAAAAUGCCAAAAUCGUCCCAGAGGUUUGGUUAUAUUUGUUUGAUGCAUCCAGAAGGACAAAGAUGUCAUUCACCUUAAUAGAAAAAAUAAACCGAGUUAGUGAUUUUGAUGGAACUGACAAUAAAACGCAAACCUGAAGAACCUAAGUAGUUAAUGUGGUAAAACAUCGGAUAUCGGUCAAGGACCGAUAUUUGAGAUAUCAGUUAUCGCGGUGGGAUAUCGGUGGGAUAUUGGUAAUUUUAAUAUCAUGCUAAAUUUAUAUAUAGCAAUUAAUGCGGUAAAAAAUCGGAUAUCGGUUAUCGCGGUGGGAUAUUGGUAGUUUUAAUAUGAUGCAGAAUUUAUAUAUAUAGCAAUUUAACACUAACAAUUCAGUAUACUCUCCUACCAUCAAC
This 428-nucleotide long non-coding RNA is filed under the name Helianthus annuus (common sunflower). RNAcentral describes it as "sRNA HanXRQr2_Chr08g0319671". The record is from RNAcentral. Lineage: Eukaryota; Viridiplantae; Streptophyta; Magnoliopsida; Asterales; Asteraceae.